This 305-nucleotide ribosomal RNA is filed under the name uncultured bacterium. RNAcentral's name for it is "bacterial SSU rRNA". It matches the Rfam family "Bacterial small subunit ribosomal RNA", at positions 335 to 640 of the family's 1533-position model. The record is from RNAcentral.
ACCCUACGGGAGGCAGCAGUGAGGAAUAUUGGUCAAUGGGCGGGAGCCUGAACCAGCCAUGCCGCGUGAAGGCGAGUGCCCUACGGGCGUUAAACUUCUUUUGUGCGGGAGCAAUAAGGGCCACGUGUGGCCCGAUGAGAGUACCGCAAGAAUAAGCAUCGGCUAACUCCGUGCCAGCAGCCGCGGUAAUACGGGGGAUGCGAGCGUUAUCCGGAUUUAUUGGGUUUAAAGGGUGCGUAGGCGGAAGGUUAAGUCAGCGGUCAAAUGUCGGUGCUCAACACCGGCCUGCCGUUGAAACUGGUCUU